GUCUAGUUGUCGAGUCCUAAAUAGGACGAAACAUGCAUCCUUGAC
Molecule: non-coding RNA, 45 nt
Filed under: Schistosoma mansoni
Lineage: Eukaryota; Metazoa; Platyhelminthes; Trematoda; Strigeidida; Schistosomatidae
Source: RNAcentral